Molecule: unclassified non-coding RNA, 148 nt
Organism: Macaca fascicularis (crab-eating macaque)
Lineage: Eukaryota; Metazoa; Chordata; Mammalia; Primates; Cercopithecidae
Rfam family: Metazoan signal recognition particle RNA
About the family: The signal recognition particle (SRP) is a universally conserved ribonucleoprotein. It is involved in the co-translational targeting of proteins to membranes. The eukaryotic SRP consists of a 300-nucleotide 7S RNA and six proteins: SRPs 72, 68, 54, 19, 14, and 9.
Source: Ensembl
GCUGGGCGUGGUGGCGCGUGCCUGUAGUCCCAGCUACUCGGGAGGCUGAGGCAGGAGAAUCGCUUGAACUCGGGAGACAGAGGUUGCAGUGAGCCGAGAUGGUGCCACUGCACUCCAGCCUGGGCAACAGAGCGAGACUCUGUCUCAA